CGUCGCACUGUAUGUAGAAGUGCCGCUUGAAAUCCGCGUGUACCAGGACUGGUGCCGAGGGCGUCUGUGAGCGGACCGGCCAUCUCAGCAUAGUUUUUCAUAAAGCGCCGGUACCAGCCCGCAGUUCCCAGGAAACUACGCAAUUCUCGAACAGAUCGCGGCUCGGCAAUGCGCAAAAUGGCCGACACACGAUCCGGAUCCAUCUUCAGCGCUCCUCCUCCCACUAUAAAUCCCAGACGCUCGGCAACCUGUCGCAGAAUCUUC
This is a long non-coding RNA of Drosophila persimilis, 264 nucleotides long. RefSeq lists it as uncharacterized. The record is from RefSeq and is a predicted model, not a curated record. The transcript is spliced from 3 exons. Lineage: Eukaryota; Metazoa; Arthropoda; Insecta; Diptera; Drosophilidae.